This 467-nucleotide ribosomal RNA is filed under the name uncultured bacterium. Its description in RNAcentral is "partial 16S ribosomal RNA". It matches the Rfam family "Bacterial small subunit ribosomal RNA", at positions 28 to 506 of the family's 1533-position model. The record is from RNAcentral.
GACGAACGCUGGCGGCGUGCUUAACACAUGCAAGUCGAACGGAAAGGCCCUGCUUUUGUGGGGUGCUCGAGUGGCGAACGGGUGAGUAACACGUGAGUAACCUGCCCUUGACUCUGGGAUAACUUCAGGAAACUGGGGCUAAUACCGGAUAGGAGCUCCUGCUGCAUGGUGGGGGUUAGAAAGUUUCGGCGGUUGGGGAUGGACUCGCGGCUUAUCAGCUUGUUGGUGGGGUAGUGGCUUACCAAGGCUUUGACGGGUAGCCGGCCUGAGAGGGUGACCGGCCACAUUGGGACUGAGAUACGGCCCAGACUCCUACGGGAGGCAGCAGUGGGGAAUAUUGCACAAUGGGCGGAAGCCUGAUGCAGCAACGCCGCGUGCGGGAUGACGGCCUUCGGGUUGUAAACCGCUUUCGCCUGUGACGAAGCGUGAGUGACGGUAAUGGGGAAAGAAGCACCGGCUAACUACGU